GUGCCAGCCAACUGUGGCUGCCUGGGACACUCCAUCUUAAGUCCCUGUGCCUCUGCUGUGUGUUACUGAGUGCCUAGGCCGUGCCAGCCUGUAUUCAUCUGUACUAUGACCUGAAGAGGCAGAGGCCAUCACUGUUGGUCCGGUCUCCACCUGGGGAAACUGAGGUUGCACAGUGUCUCUGUGGUGACGAGCAGGGCUUCAUCCAGUGCCUCUGUCCCCACCGAGGGGACUAUGGGAGACAUGGAGGGUGUGUGAGCAACAGGUGAGACUGGAGCCAGCUGAAAACUGGGAGACCGACCCAGCCAACAAACAAUGUCGGUCUCUGUCUUGGCACCUGCAGGAAACAAGCUCCUACUUCCAGAAAAAGUGCUCCUGGGACUCCAGGAUACCAGGCAUCUGGACGCGGUGGUACAUGCCUGUAAUCCCAACACUUAGGCAGGAGGAUCACUCGAGCCCAGAAGAUCAAGACUAGUGUGAGCAACAAAAUCCUUCCCUGGCACCGGUUCCAGGAGGACCUCGUUCUUAGGCAGCAUCUGUGUCUCUGUUUUGUAAGACACACAGAG
Molecule: long non-coding RNA, 563 nt
Filed under: Homo sapiens (human)
Lineage: Eukaryota; Metazoa; Chordata; Mammalia; Primates; Hominidae
Description: BST2 interferon stimulated positive regulator
Source: RNAcentral